RNAcentral lists this ribosomal RNA (543 nucleotides) under Porina lucida. RNAcentral describes it as "SSU rRNA". It matches the Rfam family "Bacterial small subunit ribosomal RNA", at positions 482 to 1096 of the family's 1533-position model. Lineage: Eukaryota; Fungi; Ascomycota; Lecanoromycetes; Ostropales; Porinaceae. The record is from RNAcentral.
AUCUAUUAGUCUUGACCAAAUCAUGUGCCAGCCGUCGCGGUAAGACAUGGAAGACGAGCGCUAUUCAUCUUUAACAGGUUUAAAGGGUACUUAGACAGUUAAUUAAGCCUACAUAAGGGACUGACUAACUAGAGUUUGAUAGAAAAAGGCUAGAACGGUAUGUGGAGAGAUAAAAUAUGUUAAUACAUGCUAAAAUCUGACAACGGCGAAGGCAACCUUUUAUGUAAAAACUGACGUUAAAGGACGAAGGCUAUAAAUAAAGAAUAGGAUUAGAUACCCUAGUAUUCGUAGCAGUAAAUGAUGAGUGUCAUAGGUAAGUAAUAUAGCUUACGUAUAAAUGAAAGUGUAAACAUUCCACCUUAAGAGUAACAUGGCAACAUAGGAACUGAAAUCAUUAGACCGUUUCUGAAACCAGUAGUGAAGUAUGUUAGUUAAAUUGAUGAUCCACAAAGAACCUUACCACAAUUUGAAUGUAAAUUCACAGGAGUUGCACGGCUGUCUUCAGUUGAUAUCGUGAGAUUUUGGUUAGCUCCAUUUAAUCAA